RNAcentral lists this ribosomal RNA (230 nucleotides) under Mycobacterium tuberculosis. RNAcentral's name for it is "partial 23S ribosomal RNA". It matches the Rfam family "Bacterial large subunit ribosomal RNA", at positions 2098 to 2327 of the family's 2925-position model. The record is from RNAcentral. Lineage: Bacteria; Bacillati; Actinomycetota; Actinomycetes; Mycobacteriales; Mycobacteriaceae.
CCUUUACUAUAGCUUGACACUGAACAUUGAGCCUUGAUGUGUAGGAUAGGUGGGAGGCUUUGAAGCGUGGACGCCAGUCUGCGUGGAGCCAACCUUGAAAUACCACCCUUUAAUGUUUGAUGUUCUAACGUUGGCCCCUUACCGGGGUUGCGGACAGUGUCUGGUGGGUAGUUUGACUGGGGCGGUCUCCUCCCAAAGCGUAACGGAGGAGCACGAAGGUUAGCUAAUCC